AGAGAUGUAGCUCAAUCGGUAGAGUACAUACUUUACAUGUAUGAGGCUCUGGCUCCAGCAUCUCUA
Molecule: transfer RNA, 66 nt
Filed under: Lepisosteus oculatus (spotted gar)
Lineage: Eukaryota; Metazoa; Chordata; Actinopteri; Semionotiformes; Lepisosteidae
Rfam family: tRNA
About the family: Transfer RNA (tRNA) molecules are approximately 80 nucleotides in length. Their secondary structure includes four short double-helical elements and three loops (D, anti-codon, and T loops).
Source: Rfam by way of RNAcentral